Molecule: long non-coding RNA, 470 nt
Organism: Triticum dicoccoides
Lineage: Eukaryota; Viridiplantae; Streptophyta; Magnoliopsida; Poales; Poaceae
Exons: 4
Source: RefSeq, a predicted model, not a curated record
GGAGAGGCUUGGGUUCCAGUUUCAAGGACUGUUGGUUUUGCUACGCCAAAUCUGCCAAUGGAUGAAAACAGGGGUGGUGAACAUAGACAGUGGCUCAAGCUGGGCCAGCAUUCGAUUCAUACCCGGAUAGUGCACGUCUUGCAGUAAAUCUGCCACAACAAAGGCGAUCAAGCCCAGUAACGUAUAUGGGUUCUGGUUCAGCCUUUGCUUCUGGUUCCCAGCUAGCACCUCUACCUGAUGUGCUAAUGAUGCCAGAUGGGACAAGUUAUACAACCUGUUGUCUUUGCACUCUCUCCAUUUGACUUGGGGUUGCACCACCAUGAGGUUUCCGAAGAAGUGUCACUUGCAUGCUAUGAAUCCGUGCAGCUGUGCGAAAGCUCUGAAACCGACAAGAUUUGGUUCUGUCAUGUGAUUCCAUUCUUGAUUAAAAUGUCUGGACCAAUGUUCAAAGGCAAGUAAAAUCACAAUGU